AAAAGACUUAGUCCUAACCUUACUAUUAAUUUCUACCAAACAUAUACAUGCAAGUAUCCGCGCCCCAGUGUAAAUGCCCUUAAUCCCUUUACCAAAGAAAAAGGAGCAGAUAUCAGGCGCGCUCCCCCACCGUAGCCCAAGACGUCUUGCUUAGCCACACCCCCACGGGCACUCAGCAGUAAUUAACAUUAAGCAAUAAGUGUAAACUUGACUUAGUUAUGGUAAUACCCAGGGUUGGUAAAUCUUGUGCCAGCCACCGCGGUCACACAAGGAACCCAAAUUAAUAGUAUACGGCGUAAAGAGUGGGACAACGCUAUCAUAACAACUAGGACCGAAAUGCAACUAAGCUGUCAUAAGCCUAAGAUGCGCCUAAGACCUACCUCAAAACGACCCUAGCACCUUCGACUAACUCAACCCCACGAAAGCCAAGGUACAAACUGGGAUUAGAUACCCCACUAUGCUUGGCCCUAAAUCCUGAUGCUUCCCUCACUAAAGCAUCCGCCUGAGAACUACGAGCACAAACGCUUAAAACUCUAAGGACUUGGCGGUGCCCCAAACCCACCUAGAGGAGCCUGUUCUAUAAUCGAUAAUCCACGUUACACCCGACCGCUCCUCGCCAGAGCAGCCUACAUACCGCCGUCGCCAGCCCACCUCUACUGAGAGUGCAACAGUGAGCACAACAGCCUAAAUCGCUAGCAAGACAGGUCGAGGUAUAGCCCACGGAGCGGAAGAAAUGGGCUACAUUUUCUAAAAUAGAAAACCCACGAAAAGGGACAUGAAACUCUCCCUGGAAGGCGGAUUUAGCAGUAAAGCGGGAUAAUAAAGCCCCCUUUAAGCUGGCUCUGAGGCACGUACAUACCGCCCGUCACCCUCCUCAUAAGCUACAAACCACUAAUAAAUAAUACCCCUCCUAGCUGAAGAUGAGGCAAGUCGUAACAAGGUAAGUGUACCGGAAGGUGCACUUAGCAUAUC
This 972-nucleotide non-coding RNA is filed under the name Nycticryphes semicollaris. RNAcentral's name for it is "12S ribosomal RNA". It matches the Rfam family "Bacterial small subunit ribosomal RNA". The record is from RNAcentral. Lineage: Eukaryota; Metazoa; Chordata; Aves; Charadriiformes; Rostratulidae.